CCCUGAUGGCUGCGAUCGUGCGGUCCAGGAUUACGGAUGGGAUGCCGUGAUUAGUGAUCUGGAAGAACCCGAACGUGCGGCAGGCGCGGCUGAUUUGGUCAACGAUGGAGGAGCGGCGAUGGGUGUGAAGAUCCGCGAGGUCGAUGGUGGGGAUUGGGAUAUCGGGUUUGGUAUGGUGUCGGGGGUCGGGUAGAGAUUCGGGCUGGUGGAUGAAGAAGCGGGGGAUGGAGGUGAGGCCAGAGUCAACGAGGCCUUUGACUCCGAGCUUGGAGCUGUCGAAUUGCUUGAUUUCUUUAGCUCUAUCGUAAUCCAGUUCGCCGAUCACGGUGUUCUCCAUCGCCACCCCCGUCAUGAUUUUGAAAGUAAAGAGGAUGAUCGAUUUAUUAAUUAAUGGAAGUCCUCAUUUAUAUUGUGGUAUAUUAUUUGGUUUGUAAUUUUAGGGGCGUUUGUUGACCCGGAUUGUCUCGGACUGGACUAGCUGUAGGGACUAAGCUGGACUGGCUUAGACUAGACUAAGCUGGACUAACUUAGUGAAGCGUUUGGUGCAGUGUCGGACUAAGAAGCAGGAUAAUAAAAACAGUACUGUUCAUCAGAUUUGUGUUUGCUUACACUAGGACUACAAAUUUUUGCCAUUGUGUAAUAAAGUAAUGCUACAAAUGUCAUGAGAAGAUACUUGUGUAAUAGAGUAAUCCUAAACUUUAUGCAAUAAAAUCGAACAUUAACUAAUGAUAGUUUUCUUGGAUUAUAGAGUUUAAGAAAACGGAACUCAUAUUAGAUAUUUGUCUGAAGCAAGUAAAAUUGCCAUGGAAAAUGUCACUUAAGUUCUUCACGUGCAUGAUAUAUGGUGUUCUGGUUCUCUGUUGGGUGAAGAUGACUAGGAUCCAAUGGUGGUAGGGUUUUGAAGGAAGGGGAAACGUGAGUACUAAUACUUUGGUUUCAAGAAUUCUCCAAGUGUACCCAACAAACCUUGCUCAAAAGAAAAGAAAAUAGAAAAACAUGGUAAUUAAACAGGCUAUAAGGGGCCGUCUCUUUUUCCAUGUGGCAUAAUUCAUAGCUGACUAGAUUAACAAGCAAGAGCAAGUACAUAAGAAGAUCUCCAUAAUUUACAAAAUACCAGUGAACUAUAGUAUACCAUUCAAAAGUAGAUCUCCAUAAUUUACAAACUCCUAGUUAACAUUAGCCAAAAUACUUCAUAGUGGAAAGCUAAGUUAUAAGUCAUAACUUAAGAUUGUACGAUUAAUAAAAUACAUCCAUAUCAAAGACACUACAUAAUAUACUCAUCCGCUUGCUUUGUCGCUUAAAAGCCUUUGGACAAACACUUUCUUGAGUUCUGGUUUGAUUACCCUGAACACUCCCACAUUUUUUUGUUUAUCCAAAAUAAGAGACAAUGCAUCAAUUUGAUCCAUAGGAGAAAGACCCAUUUCUUCAAGUUCGUUAGCUAUGUCACUAUGAUCUGCAGUAACUUGAACUAAAGCUUCAGUUACCAUUUGCAUCCUCUUCCCACUUUCAACAUAAAAUUCUUUCAGUCCACUGAUAAUUGCCUCGGUUCCAUCACUUGAACUUCCCACACCUCUUUUCCUCUUUCGUUGGCUAUUUUCAGAUGGGAUGCUUUGUUGGCUUUGUUCGUUCAUUGAAGAAACAAAAUUUUCACCUCUAAUAUCACUUGCACCAACUUGAUCAUGACUUUGUUCCUCCACCAUUUCAGCAGGGGUUUCGGCUACAUUACCCGUAGCCCGAUCUUUUCCAAAUAUAUAUGCGAAUCGAUCAUACAGUGGAAAAGGUUUGCUUCUCCAUCCAUUGGCUUCUUUAUUUUUCUAAGAUUAUAUCAAAAUAGCAAAACUAAAAUUGAGCAUGUGUAACAAAUAAAGCAGCAAGAACAAAACUAAUGUAUAAAUAAAAUAGGAUAUGAACCUGCACAUAAGUUUGCCAUGCGUCAUCACUAUCAACUUCAACGCACUUUUUGACAUCAUUCCAUGCAAAUCCACUUGUGUUUAUCAUGUCAACGACCAUACUAUAUGUUUUUUUCCAUUUCUUUAACUUUGACUCAAUAUGUGGAGUUGCAUUUAUAUUGAAAUGAGGACAUAAAACAUUGACAGCUUUCGCUAUUUCAAUCAAAGUACCUUGUUUGAAAGCACCGGUAUCACACCGUUGCUUCCGAGCAACAAAAUCCUCAAGAACGGAUAGUAAUACUUCUUCCUCAAAUGCUUCCCAUUUACGCCUUCUUCCUUUUGGCUCUUGAGUAGCAUUCAAAAUAUUGUCUUUAUCCAUACCUAAACAAAAAAUAUUUGAAUGUACUAAAAUACAAUACAAAUAAUCAAUUUACAUAAUAUCCAAUUAAUUUGCAUAAUAUCCAAAUAAUUUGCAUACCAUCCAAUCAAUAAAAAAGUUUUAACAUUCACUGAUGAGCAAUCUAAUAAUUAUGCUAAUAUCCAACAAAGGCAUGAUAAAAAGGAAUACUAAAAUAAAAUGUUAUCAUUAACACAUAUAACUAGUUCGGUUGCUGGUUCCUAAUUGCUCUCCACUCAUUAUACAUUUCCUGAGCCAUGACAUUCCUCUUUGCAGUCCACUGGUCAGAUGUUUCAACACUACCAACAUAUUCACCUUCUUCUGUAUUUUGUCCAUCUUGUAUUAUUGGCAAAUUUUCCAGUGGAUCUACAGACAUCUCUUGCCUAAUAAGAUUGUGUAGUAGGCAACAAGCGGUAAUUAUUCGACCUUGUGUCCUUAUCAAAUAGAAAGAUGGACUUCUUAGUAUCGAUCACCUUCCUUUUAGCAAGCCAAAACAACGUUCAAUUACAUUCCUUGCCUUAGAAUGCUUCAUGUUAAAAUACUCUUCCUUAUUAAAAGGUGUUCGUCCCUCCCAUUCAGAUAAAUGAUAAGGUAUUCCUCUAUAGGGUGCAAGGAAUCCUUCACCAUUUGUAUAACCACCAUCUACAAGGUAAUAAUAACCUAAUAAAAAAAAACGUUAUUAGUGUUUUGUAGUUGACAAACAAAACUAGACAUAACUUACAAAGUUGAGACUAACUAAUACUCUUACCCGUUGGUACCUUAAAACCAUUAGGCCUAGUAAUUGCAUCAUGUAGCACUCUAGAGUCUGAUGCGGAACCCUCCCAACCUGGAAACACAUAUAUGAACUGCAUAUCGCCUGAACACACACCUAACACAUUAGUUGCGGCUCGACCCUUUCUUGUUCGGUAUCUUGGUUUGUCAAUUUCAUGUACAUGCAUAUCAAUGUGUGUUCCAUCUAUUGCUCCCAAGCAAUUCUAAAAAAAAAUAAAAAAUUAAGCUUUUGUUAAUUUAUACAAAGGGAAUGAAGAGUUAAAGCUUAGGGAAAAUGAAAAAAAAAUUAUCAUACCUUAAAACAUCGCCACCUAGGAUCUGUAGAAUCAAUAGGCACAGGCUGAGGGACUUUUAGUAGGAUACCUUGUAAUCGCAAAAUUCCUUGCAAUACGCUAUUGAAAUACCUACUUAUAGUCUCUCUCGACCUAUAAAAUCUACCGUCAAUACUACGAUUCUUAGUAUGAUGUGCUAGUAUUUGUAAAGUCAUACACACAUGCUCCUCUACAGACACCAAACCAUCAGUUUUUACCCUCCCAUCUUGACUAAGUAAGUCACAUAAUAUGGCAAAAGUCCUUCUAUCCAUUCUCAAUUCGUUGACACAUUCAAUAUCAAUAUUUCCUAUUAUACCAUUCAGAUAACACAAACUAAUCUCUCGUCUAACAAGUGAACGAUUAGUCAAAGUGGAUCAUUCAACAUGUCUCUGUUUGGCCCUUAGCAUCAUCACCACAAGAAUCGUACAAAUGCAAAUUGUCUCUAAAUGAGACAUCUCUAACAAUAAGAUCAAUAAAAGCUUCAUUCGAUCCAUAUCUAUCCAAACAAAAAAAAAAAGGAAAAUAAAAUAAGGACAUUAUAUAUGUAAUAUUUACUGUUAUUAAGGGUGAUGGAAAUGAAGUGAUUAUGAUACGAAAUGAACUAGAUCAAAAUAAAUGGUAUACAAAGAAUUCUGAAACAAGUAACUGCAUUAACAGCCCAAAAAAUAAACAGCCAAGUCACAAUUAAUGUUGGAUCAACAAAAAAAAAAAACCAGUCAAGUCACAAUUGCUAGGCAUUGCAUGUUAAAAGGGAAAUUAAAUGACACCUGUGAAGCGGUAGUCUUAGCCUUAUCCUUCCGUUUAUGCUCCUCUUCUUUGCAACCAACAACCACAGAAUAUUGCAGUUCAGCAUACAAAACAUUCACAUUGUAAUAUCAUGGUUAUAAACUAAAUACACACACACACUUACAGAGCACACACACACAUUUCCAGUGCAGAAUACACACACACACACAGAGACACCAACUAAAGAUACACACACACACACACAUUCACAGACCAACUAAAGAUACACACACACAGAAACACACCAACUAAACUCACAGACCACAAAAAAAACAUCUGUUCUAGUUCAAGAUCAAAAGAUGAGCAAUUAAGUAAGGACAAACAAAAUAGUUCAAACCGGACAUUAAACUUUUGAGUGAAACUCAACCGCAACAUUAGAAUAUAAGCAGAGAGAUUGUUACAAGGAGAACUUCCAGUUGGAACAAAAAUUCUAGACCAACCCUACCCCCUUCCCUGCCUCACCCUCUCUCGCUCCCCCCCACGUUAAUGAGUACACACAUACAAACACACACACACACAGUACACAAACACACACACGCAGUACACAAACACACACACACACACCCCCACGUUAAUGAGUACACACAAACACACACACACGCACACAGUACACACACACACACUUCAAGUGCAGUACACAAACACACACACACAUACACAGAAAUUAGAUACACACAAAGUACACACACACACAGGCAGUACACAAACACACACACACAAAAAUUACACACACACACACACACAGUACACACACACACAUACACAGAAAUUAGACACACACAGGCAGUACACAAACACACACACACACACACCCCACGUUAAUGAGUACACACAAACACACACACACACACACACUUCCAGUGCAGUACACAAACACACACACACACAGAGUACACACACACACACAUACACAGAAAUUAGACACACACACACAGGCAGUACACAAACACACACACACACACUUCCAGUGCAGUACACAAACACACACACACACACAUACACAGAAAUUAGACACACACACACAGGCAGUACACAAACACACACACACAGAAAUUACACACACACAUACACAGAAAUUACACACACACACAUAGGUAGUACACAAACACACACACACACACACCCCCCACGUUAAUGAGUACACACAAACACACACAGAAAUUACACACACACACACAGAGUACACACACACACACUUCCAGUGCAAAAUACACACACACACACACACUCACAGAAAUUACACACAGAAACACACCAACUAAACUCACAGACCACAAAAAAAACAUCCAUUCUAGUUCAAGAUCAAAAGAUGAGGAAUUAAGUAAGAACAAAAAUAGUUCAAACCGGACACUAAUCUUUUGAAUGAAACUUAACCGCAACAUUAGAAUAUAAGCAGAGAGAUUGUUGCAGGGAUGACUUCCAGUUGGAACAAAAAUUCUAGACCAACCCUACCUCCUUCCCUGCCUCACCCUCUCUCGCUCCCCCCCCCCCCACAUUAAUGAGUACACACAUACACACACAUACACACAGAGUAAUAAGUACACACAAACACACACACACACCCCCCCCACGUUAAUGAGUACACAACCACACACACACACAGAGAAAUUACACAAACACAGAGUACACAAACACACACACAAAGUACACAAACACACACACACCCCCUACGUUAAUGAGUACACACAAACACACACACACACACACAGAGAAAUUACACACACACACACAGUACACAAACACACACACACAGAGUAAUGAGUACAGACACACACACACACUUCUGCACUAACUCAUCAAUUCAUCCUAAUUUGGUAGAUAAAAACAUACAGUGAAAGAGGUGUUUGGAGAGAGUAUGCUUGGAGACGAGGAUUUUUGGUAAUGACAUACACAUAAAUUACACACACACACACAUAGUACACUAACACACACACACACACGCAGACACACACACGCACAGAGUACUCCCAUUGUUGAAACCCCAAUUUUUAAAAAUCGAAAACAACAUGUGGGUAGGACUUCCAAGUUUUACAACUUUGACAUCCUAAAUUCCCAAGUUCCAUCUCAUCUUAUGAAAAGCCCAAAUUCUAAUUUCAAUUUCACCUAAAUAUCAAAACCCUAAUUUAUUCAAGUGCAGAUCUCUAUGAUUCAAAAAUUAUCAAACCCAAAACAACAAAAUCAAAUAAAGCUCAGUAAAAUUACCAUCUGCAACACAAAUACAUGAAAUUAAUAGAAGAAUCGAAGUUUACCAUACAAAUGAGGGCGAGCAGAUGCAGAGAUCGGAAGACGCAGAGAUGAGGGUGAGGAGGACGAAGAUGAGGGAGCACGGCAAGGACGACGUUGAGGGAACGUAGAGAUGAGGACGAAGGGCUUGGACUGGACGAAGGGACGACGCAAAAAAUCUCUCGGUUUUCUCUGGCUUACGAAUCCGCCCGAUUUUGGGGUUGCUCGUUAAGAACGGCUAAGGAGCCAGUUAGUCCAAGCGAGUCCAGGUUAAGCUCAUUAAAGCUAAUCCGGAUGCACACCAAACGUCGGACUAUAGUCUAGUCCAGUCCAAGCCCUCUUAAUCCUGUCAAACAAACGUGCCCUUAGUCUCUAAAUUUAGUUUUCUUAUCAUUACUCAAUUUUUAAAUUAAAUUAGUAAAUCAAAUGAGACGUCACAAAUUAAAAAUAAGCAUGUUAAUUAACGUUUAAAAAAUAAUUCAAUCAUCGAUAAUUAUAUUAUUUAAUUUACAAAAUUUAAACUCCUCAUUAUUUUCAUUAGCCAAAACAAAGAGCACAAGUGCCUAAACAAUUAGCCAAAACAAAGAGCACAAGUGCCUAAAAUAUUGUGUAGUCCUAAGACAAUGGGUCAUGAUAAGGUUUUAACAAUUGCAACCAAUAAAAUGUAAAGUCAUUACACAAACUCUCAAGUCCCUCCUAUUUAAUAUCUGUUUGGACCCAAUUUUACAUUAUUAGUCUGAGUAAUCGAGACCGUUGAAUGAACAUAAUUUUAUACCGUUGAAUGAUAAAGUGAUUGAAAUGAUUUUUAAUUAUUAUUGAGAAAUAAUAUUAUGAUUUUAAUUAUGAUAUUAUCUCUUAAUAUUAUAUUAAAUUAUUUAAACCUAAUAUUUGUCUAAAUCCCAAUUGAUUUGAAUGAUGAUGGAAUAUGGGGAUAUACUUUAAGAUACGACAUCAGAUAAUGAAGCAUGCAUGGGAUGAUUAUCAUAUAAGUGCAAAUGGUGCACGCGUUUUGAUGUUGUUUUGGUUUUGGCCACAUGGAUGCAUAUGAGCAAAAAUAAAGGAGAUGCCGCAUGCAAUGGCAUAUUCCAGUUUAAACUAGAACUAUUACGAUGAUCUGGUGAAUGGGUGAUAAGAUUUACAUGGAUUGCGUGUGGUUGGAAGAAAGUAUGUGGCAUGCAUGGCUGCAUCCAGACAAAUAAGUGGUCAACCAAAAGGAAAAUAUUGGUAUUGGAUAAUGAUGAGAUAAGAAACUUAGGUAGGCUAGGCCUUUUUGCAUGGUGAUGGAUGUUGUCAGAUGAGUUUGAAGUGAUAAGAAUUGAUCACAAUGCAUGUCGUGCGAAAAGGUACUUUGAGAUUUCAAAAGGAUGCAUGUGUCUGCUUUUGCAGAAAUCCACGGGCAUAAGGAGACUAGGUAGAUUUUUGCAUGUGUCAAAGAUAAUAUUAGUUAUUUGAUAUUAUUUUUGGAGUGUAUUCGGAAAAGGUCUCUAUUGGAUUGUCGAUCAAGGAGACUCGGCAAUAAAUACAAAGUUGCAAACAUCUCAUCAACCCUUUCAAAUCAACACAUAAAUUGCCCUGCACAAAGCUUCUUAACAACUUUGAGAUUUUUUCCUCUUCCCCUUUCUUCCUGCCAACACAUCUUCAGUUUGGAUAAACCUGAAGGCAACCGGCGACAUCUUCAGUUUGGAUAGACAUCACUAUAACCAUAGAAUCAGCCAAUCGAGGAGCACCUUCAAUUUGGAUAGACAACACUGCUUUGAGACCGACUGAUUAUUUAUCCAAGUCUCGAUCAACAAGGAUUUCCAAGUCCUUGUUUGUAGAGGUCAUCUCACUAGCCUUCUCGGCGAAGUGAGGUGUUACAGGUCGGGUCCUAGGCUUGACAUAUAGGACGCCGAGUUUUAUUUUAUGAUUGGAUAUUCACAAGUAUAUUUUAGAGUUUGGCAUUCCAACAGCCAAACCACAUUUACUAUCAAGACAUUUAUCAUUUUCGAGUAUUUGUAUUCGUAUAGUUUGAUACCAGUAUGGUGUACCUAUACUCACGAAUAUAAUUUACUCAGACCGAACCUUGUGCUGACGAUUUGUGAACUUCGCAGAACUAGUAGCCUUGUCUUCAGGCUCUAGAACACGAAGGUUAAGACGUGUUCCUUCCUCGGCCGCAGUCGCAAGAUCAAGAAGUCAACAGUGCGCCCAACGCGACAUCAACACAUUUUACUACCUAACCAAGCUCGGCCGGCAAGUUGGCACGCCCCGCACACAAUCAAAGAACGUAGUUAGCUUAUUAGUUACUCGGCCAGAUCGCCACGUAGGCUUGGUAGUUCUCAAAAUCAUUUAUCCCGGCUUGGUAAUGCCUCCGCCACCGCAUGAGAGGGCAACCCAUUAUUUCUACGUGUAGAACGACGAACUUAAGAGUAUGUGAACGAAUGCUCUUAAUUGUCGAAGCAGACUCCACAUUUGAUAAUCCAAUUCGUAUUUUUAUUACAAUAAAGAUGAGGACACACCUCUCAAAUACAAUGGGUCAUACUUCAGUUCUGGUCAUAUAGUGGUAUUUUACAGCUCAAAGUGAUUUACCAAAGCUUUGCCAUCCAACCCUUUAUUGAAGAACCUUUGCAUGAACUCUGAAAGCGUAAACUGCCGGUAAAGGGCUGGUUUCUCUGGGGAGACCAGCUCCGGCAAUGGCCCGUAUGAGUCAUCCCUUCUACUCACAUUGAAAAACACAGCGAUUGACACACGGGGUUCACGGGAUGAGUUCGCCAACACACGAUGAUCUACACUUCGGUAUUCACCAUUGGACACAAUCUGAAAACGAACCAAACCAUUACAUUGAGUUUCGGUUAAACAGCAAACAAAAUAAAGGCGAAAUAGUUCUAUUGCCCGCCAAAAGUAAGGAUAAUUCUCACUUUACCCCCCUUUACUUAUGUUUUGUGUUCGACUUUGCUCCUUGUCAUCAUCUCCGUCCAAAAUUUUGGUUAAAAUUGAUGGCAUUUCAUGUAUAAUUUCAUCUAAAAUUCCGUUAAAAUAGUACCACUACGACCUCAUCAAAUUUAAAGAAAUUUAAGAUUGAGUUUACUGCUUGGAGCAAAUCGUAACUCAAAGCAUUACUCAAGGGGCAAGGUAGGGUUUACCUUAACACCAAGAACAAACUGCAAUUUAACAGUUCUACAAUUAAGCCUAAUAACAAAUAAACUAGCAGGGAAAUUUACUGAAUGCAGAUACAAAGUUUGAUUGCUAAAGAGAAAAUCGGUUAAAGUGAUUUCGACAUGUGAUAGAGAUGCUCUGGCAAGAACGACUAUUAAACAAAGGCAAAAAAACGUAGAAGACUUAGAAAGAGACUUAAAAAUAAAAUUUCGAGUACUUGGGGCAAACGGAAUACUUCGUGCAAAACUGAGCACAAUAACAUUUUAAAGGUCAUACAUCUAACCCCUCUUAGGCCUAGUUUGAUAUUACUUUUUUUUUUCACCAAAAAUUGUUUUACUUUAAAGUUAAGCAGUAAAAAAAAUCUUUGAUAAAAAUAAAAUAUACUACUUAUUUUAAAAAUAAUAGCAGUCAAACAACAGUUUUAAAAAAGAGCACGUAGGUUGCUCUUAAAAGCCGAUUUAAUACAAAGCGAAGUUGAACCUUUGAAAUACUUUUAACUCCGGUAAUAAGUUCAUUAAUUUUAAACAAUGACAUUAUUUAUAAACAUUGCUUUUACAUUAUUUUAUAUACCCACAACACUUUUAAAAAUACAAAUUAUCAAACUUUCAACUACUUUCUUUUGCAAUUAAUUAUUCUUAAAGUACAAAACAAGCAAUUUAUUAAAAAAAAAACACAAUAAUCGCAAAUUGACCCUUAGUGGAAUAUGACUUAAUUGUUGUUGUAUUGAUAUGUUGUCGUUUUGAUCAUUUGUAGAUGUGUAAAACACUCAUUUUUUUAGUCAAUUUCACAACCCAAAAACAAAGCGUUGAAUUUUAAAUGGCAUAGGGUUACUUUCACAGGCAGUAAGAGUUAAAAAUAGAAUUUACCUGAAGAAAAUCCCCAACGUUGAUGACGAGGGCACCGGGAACAGGUUUCACAUCCACCCAACCGUCACCGUACUUAACCUGCAGCCCACCCAUGCGGUCCUGAAGCACCACGGCCAGCACUCCCGGGUCAGAAUGAGAUGUAAGCCCAACCGUCAGAUCAGGUUGCGGGCAGUACGGGUAGUAAUGGCCCGCCAUCACCCUCCCUUCCAGACACGUCAUCUCCUGCAACCUCUUCGGGUUCAAUCCCAGGCCUUCGCUCGCCAGCUCCAUCAGCACCUCCCCCAGCCGUUUGAUCUCGCGGUCCCACUCAACUACAUCCUCCCGGCAAAUCUCCGGUACUUCUUCAGGAACAGCGGGAAUCGGGCCCAACCUCACUUGAAGCGUGUCCCUCCAGCUGGCGGCUUUUGAGCUGUAGAGGUCCACGUUGGAGAUAUACGAUACGCCCGUGCCCAUCUCUCUGCGGUAGAACCGCGCUUUCACCUCCGUCGGCUGCUCGUGGAAGGCCCUGACGGCUGCGAUCGUGCGGUCAAGAGUUACCGAUGGGAUGCCGUGAUUAGUGAUCUGGAAGAACCCGAACGUUCGGCAGGCGCGGCUGAUUUGGUCAACGACGGAGGAGCGGCGAUCGGUGUGAAGAUCCGCCAGGUCGAUGGUGGGGAUUGGGGUAUCGGGUUUGGUAUGAUGUCGGGGGUCGGGUAGAGAUUCGGGUGGGUGGACGAAGAAGCGGGGGAUGGAGGUGAGGCCUGAGUCAACGAGGCCUUUAACCCCGAACUUGGAUUGGUCGAAUUUCUUGACUUCUUCAGCUCUAUCGUAAUCCCGUUCACCGCCGAUCGUGGUGUUCGCCGCCAUGGUUUCUCUUUUUCCGGUCAGAGAAAAUUGCUUACC
This 11257-nucleotide long non-coding RNA is filed under the name Malus domestica (apple). RNAcentral's name for it is "long non-coding RNA (MDOM_LNC016005)". The record is from RNAcentral. Lineage: Eukaryota; Viridiplantae; Streptophyta; Magnoliopsida; Rosales; Rosaceae.